Molecule: ribosomal RNA, 525 nt
Filed under: Escherichia coli
Lineage: Bacteria; Pseudomonadati; Pseudomonadota; Gammaproteobacteria; Enterobacterales; Enterobacteriaceae
Description: bacterial SSU rRNA
Rfam family: Bacterial small subunit ribosomal RNA
Source: RNAcentral
GCUAACGCGUUAAGUCGACCGCCUGGGGAGUACGGCCGCAAGGUUAAAACUCAAAUGAAUUGACGGGGGCCCGCACAAGCGGUGGAGCAUGUGGUUUAAUUCGAUGCAACGCGAAGAACCUUACCUGGUCUUGACAUCCACGGAAGUUUUCAGAGAUGAGAAUGUGCCUUCGGGAACCGUGAGACAGGUGCUGCAUGGCUGUCGUCAGCUCGUGUUGUGAAAUGUUGGGUUAAGUCCCGCAACGAGCGCAACCCUUAUCCUUUGUUGCCAGCGGUCCGGCCGGGAACUCAAAGGAGACUGCCAGUGAUAAACUGGAGGAAGGUGGGGAUGACGUCAAGUCAUCAUGGCCCUUACGACCAGGGCUACACACGUGCUACAAUGGCGCAUACAAAGAGAAGCGACCUCGCGAGAGCAAGCGGACCUCAUAAAGUGCGUCGUAGUCCGGAUUGGAGUCUGCAACUCGACUCCAUGAAGUCGGAAUCGCUAGUAAUCGUGGAUCAGAAUGCCACGGUGAAUACGUUCCCG